CCUACGGGAGGCAGCAGUGAGGAAUAUUGGUCAAUGGACGAGAGUCUGAACCAGCCAAGUAGCGUGAAGGAUGACUGCCCUAUGGGUUGUAAACUUCUUUUAUAUGGGAAUAAAACGUUCCACGUGUGGGAUUUUGUAUGUACCAUAUGAAUAAGGAUCGGCUAACUCCGUGCCAGCAGCCGCGGUAAUACGGAGGAUCCGAGCGUUAUCCGGAUUUAUUGGGUUUAAAGGGAGCGUAGGUGGUUUGUUAAGUCAGUUGUGAAAGUUUGCGGCUCAACCGUAAAAUUGCAGUUGAAACUGGCAGUCUUGAGUACAGUAGAGGUGGGCGGAAUGCGUGGUGUAGCGGUGAAAUGCUUAGAUAUCACGAAGAACUCCGAUUGCGAAGGCAGUUCACUGGACUGCAACUGACACUGAGGCUCGAAAGUGUGGGUAUCAAACAGGAUUAGAUACCCUAGUAGUC
Molecule: ribosomal RNA, 460 nt
Filed under: uncultured bacterium
Lineage: Bacteria
Description: partial 16S ribosomal RNA
Rfam family: Bacterial small subunit ribosomal RNA
Source: RNAcentral